GACGAACGCUGGCGGCGUGCUUAACACAUGCAAGUCGAACGGUGAAGCGAGUGCUUUCAUUCGUGGAUCAGUGGCGAACGGGUGAGUAACACGUGAGUAACCUGCCCAUCACUCUGGGAUAAGCACUGGAAACGGUGUCUAAUACUGGAUACGACCAACCCCUGCAUGGGGGGGUGGGGGAAAGAUUUAUCGGUGAUGGAUGGACUCGCGGCCUAUCAGCUUGUUGGCGGGGUAAUGGCCCACCAAGGCGACGACGGGUAGCCGGCCUGAGAGGGUGACCGGCCACACUGGGACUGAGACACGGCCCAGACUCCUACGGGAGGCAGCAGUGGGGAAUAUUGCACAAUGGGCGGAAGCCUGAUGCAGCGACGCCGCGUGAGGGAUGACGGCCUUCGGGUUGUAAACCUCUUUCAGCAGGGACGAAGCGAGAGUGACGGUAACUGCAGAAGAAGCACCGGCUAACUACGUG
This 469-nucleotide ribosomal RNA is filed under the name uncultured bacterium. Its description in RNAcentral is "partial 16S ribosomal RNA". It matches the Rfam family "Bacterial small subunit ribosomal RNA", at positions 28 to 507 of the family's 1533-position model. The record is from RNAcentral.